RNAcentral lists this unclassified non-coding RNA (235 nucleotides) under Hevea brasiliensis (rubber tree). The record is from RNAcentral. Lineage: Eukaryota; Viridiplantae; Streptophyta; Magnoliopsida; Malpighiales; Euphorbiaceae.
UGUACUAUCUGCAUUAAACGUUGUAUCAACUGUGGGCGGUGCUUAAAUAAUUGUGAAUAUGAGGAAUUAUUCAGUUUCGACAAUCUGUGUUUAGAUUGCUGUAGGGAUUGCUAUAAGGAAUUUUUGGAUCACCAAGAGAGGCAAGAGAGGAUUACUGUUCCACUGGAAAAUCCUGUUCCUCAUAAGCAGACAAGCUGCCAUUUCUUCUUUUGUGGCUAGAACAUGCAGCAGGCAA